UACGAAGGGGGCUAGCGUUGUUCGGAUUUACUGGGCGUAAAGGGCGCGUAGGCGGCGUGGUAAGUCACUUGUGAAAUCUCUGAGCUUAACUCAGAACGGCCAAGUGAUACUGCUGUGCUAGAGUGCAGAAGGGGCAAUCGGAAUUCUUGGUGUAGCGGUGAAAUGCGUAGAUAUCAAGAGGAACACCUGAGGUGAAGACGGGUUGCUGGGCUGACACUGACGCUGAGGCGCGAAAGCUAGGGGAGCAAACGGG
Molecule: ribosomal RNA, 253 nt
Filed under: uncultured bacterium
Lineage: Bacteria
Description: partial 16S ribosomal RNA
Rfam family: Bacterial small subunit ribosomal RNA
Source: RNAcentral